UGCAGUCGAGCGAGGACUUCGGUCCUAGCGGCGGACGGGUGAGUAACGCGUGGGAACGUGCCCUUUGCUACGGAACAGUCCCGGGAAACUGGGUUUAAUACCGUAUGCGCCCCUCGGGGGAAAGAUUUAUCGGCAAAGGAUCGGCCCGCGUUGGAUUAGGUAGUUGGUGGGGUAAUGGCCUACCAAGCCGACGAUCCAUAGCUGGUUUGAGAGGAUGAUCAGCCACACUGGGACUGAGACACGGCCCAGACUCCUACGGGAGGCAGCAGUGGGGAAUCUUAGACAAUGGGGGCAACCCUGAUCUAGCCAUGUCGCGUGAGUGAAGAAGGCCCUAGGGUUGUAAAGCUCUUUCAGCGGGGAAGAUAAUGACGGUACCCGCAGAAGAAGCCCCGGCUAACUCCGUGCCAGCAGCCGCGGUAAUACGGAGGGGGCUAGCGUUGUUCGGAAUUACUGGGCGUAAAGCGCGCGUAGGCGGACUGGAAAGUUGGGGGUGAAAUCCCGGGGCUCAACCCCGGAACUGCCUCCAAAACUAUCAGUCUGGAGUUCGAGAGAGGUGAGUGGAAUU
RNAcentral lists this ribosomal RNA (565 nucleotides) under uncultured Alphaproteobacteria bacterium. RNAcentral describes it as "bacterial SSU rRNA". It matches the Rfam family "Bacterial small subunit ribosomal RNA", at positions 56 to 668 of the family's 1533-position model. The record is from RNAcentral. Lineage: Bacteria; Pseudomonadati; Pseudomonadota; Alphaproteobacteria.